UGGAGUCGUAUGCCAGCAAGAUGGAUCUUGCGGGGAUACCAUAGUGGAAAACCAAACGGAGGUUUACAUCCUCAGGUUUGAUAUUAUCUGAAAAUCCCACAGGCUGCAACAUAACGUUAAGUCAGACCCAAACUAUUUUCAAAUUAAUUUUGCUGAAUUUCGAAUAGCAUUUAGCACUACCUAAUUUUUUAUAACAAGUAUAAUGCCUACUUAGGAGCAUAUUCGUUGCUUUUGAUGCAAAUCUCAACCAAUUGUAAAUUCAUAAAGCCCGUCAUGUAAUCAAUGUAGCACUUUAUUAAUAUGUAUCAUUGCUAACUUAGGAACUUUAGUACUUCACUUUGCCCUAAAUGGUCCUCUAUUGUAAGUUCUCACAAUUAUUUCCUUAAAAAAAAUUGAAUAGAGACCUACGAGGGGUUCAACUUUAGUUCUGGCCACCAUUUUGUCACAACCUGGAUUCAGCAAGUUCAAUGGCUCAUCUACCAACCUCAGAGCGCCCUGUCUUUAAACAUGCAGUUGCACCUGACAUAAUGAAAUUAAAUAUAAGGAAGAGCUCAACACAAUAGAAGAAAGAGAUUGAAAUUAUUCUAAGAACCAUUUUGGAAAACCUCAAAA
Molecule: long non-coding RNA, 612 nt
Filed under: Olea europaea (common olive)
Lineage: Eukaryota; Viridiplantae; Streptophyta; Magnoliopsida; Lamiales; Oleaceae
Description: long non-coding RNA (OEUR_LNC015267)
Source: RNAcentral